This 240-nucleotide ribosomal RNA is filed under the name uncultured bacterium. Its description in RNAcentral is "partial 16S ribosomal RNA". It matches the Rfam family "Bacterial small subunit ribosomal RNA", at positions 96 to 334 of the family's 1533-position model. The record is from RNAcentral.
UGGCGAACGGGUGAGUAACGCGUGAGGAACCUGCCUCAAAGAGGGGGACAACAGUUGGAAACGACUGCUAAUACCGCAUAAGCCCACGACCUGGCAUCGGGUUGAGGGAAAAGGAGCAAUCCGCUUUGAGAUGGCCUCGCGUCCGAUUAGCUAGUUGGUGAGGUAACGGCCCACCAAGGCAACGAUCGGUAGCCGGACUGAGAGGUUGAACGGCCACAUUGGGACUGAGACACGGCCCAG